GACGAACGCUGGCGGCGUGCCUAAUACAUGCAAGUCGAGCGAACAGACGAGGAGCUUGCUCCUCUGACGUUAGCGGCGGACGGGUGAGUAACACGUGGAUAACCUACCUAUAAGACUGGGAUAACUUCGGGAAACCGGAGCUAAUACCGGAUAAUAUAUUGAACCGCAUGGUUCAAUAGUGAAAGACGGUUUUGCUGUCACUUAUAGAUGGAUCCGCGCCGCAUUAGCUAGUUGGUAAGGUAACGGCUUACCAAGGGAACGAUGCGUAGCCGACCUGGGAGGGUGAUCGGCCACACUGGAACUGAGACACGGUCCAGACUCCUACGGGAGGCAGCAGUAGGGAAUCUUCCGCAAUGGGCGAAAGCCUGACGGAGCAACGCCGCGUGAGUGAUGAAGGUCUUCGGAUCGUAAAACUCUGUUAUUAGGGAAGAACAAAUGUGUAAGUAACUAUGCACGUCUUGACGGUACCUAAUCAGAAAGCCACGGCUAACUACGUG
This 497-nucleotide ribosomal RNA is filed under the name uncultured bacterium. RNAcentral describes it as "partial 16S ribosomal RNA". It matches the Rfam family "Bacterial small subunit ribosomal RNA", at positions 28 to 507 of the family's 1533-position model. The record is from RNAcentral.